RNAcentral lists this ribosomal RNA (254 nucleotides) under uncultured bacterium. RNAcentral describes it as "partial 16S ribosomal RNA". It matches the Rfam family "Bacterial small subunit ribosomal RNA", at positions 524 to 776 of the family's 1533-position model. The record is from RNAcentral.
UACGUAGGGGGGCAAGCGUUGUCCGGAUUUAUUGGGCGUAAAGAGCUCGUAGGCGGUUCGUCGCGUCGGCUGUGAAAUCCCGAGGCUCAACCUCGGGUCUGCAGUCGAUACGGGCGGACUGGAGUUCGGCAGGGGAGACUGGAAUUCCUGGUGUAGCGGUGAAAUGCGCAGAUAUCAGGAGGAACACCGGUGGCGAAGGCGGGUCUCUGGACCGAGACUGACGCUCAGGCGCGAAAGCGUGGGGAGCGAUCCGG